This is a long non-coding RNA of Apis cerana (Asiatic honeybee), 3202 nucleotides long. RefSeq lists it as uncharacterized. Lineage: Eukaryota; Metazoa; Arthropoda; Insecta; Hymenoptera; Apidae. The record is from RefSeq and is a predicted model, not a curated record.
AACUAUACAUAUAUUCGUUUGAACGCGCGUCUCCUCUUUAAGGAGGUUUCACAUUACUCGACUCGCGUCAGGAUAAACGAGAGAGGGGGAAGAAGAACUCUUGCGGAGUAGCCUCUUUCCAACGUAUUUGCACGUUUCGCGCGUCGAUCGCACGCGACGCAAUUAUACGGAAGUGUUUCGAAAUGGGAGACGUGCAAAUAUUCCUUCCAUGUUCGACGUUUGAAUUUGCCUACGUACUUGGACACUGGAAUGUCUCUUAGCAUUAUAUCGAAGGGUCGAAGAUUCCAUUGAGUUAUCAGAAAUAAAUUGGAUGAACACGGAAAGCGUUGGGUGUAUUUACGAUUCAUAUUAAAUCAGAAUACCAAAUUAUUGGAGGUAAGCGUGGAUAAGUAGAGGGCUCCACUGACGUGAACACAGAAUAUCAGAUCGCCAGAAAUCCUAGAAUAAUAUUUACAGAUUGGGCACGAGUUUCCAGGAGCGGGCCGUGUAAUUUUGGAAAUUACGAGACCCACAGGGGAAUAUAUACGCGUAAUUAGAAAAGUCGUUGAAUUCCUGGAAGCGGGGACCGAUGAUUGACCGUGCGGCCGGCUUAAAUGAAGCGACUGGCCGGUCGUCGGUGGCUCGUAAUUAUCGAGAGACUCGGGUUAAUUGGCUUGACCGCCGCACUCGUCCCAUUCUCAACGCGUUUCGCUGUAAUUUAAAGUAAUGCAAUCCGGUUUCUAAUUAGCGCACUCUAUUAAAACCGUACAGAAAACUGUCGACCUAAUGUACUUUCCUGCAUUACCACUACUACUUACUACUCCCGCCAUUUUUUACAUCCCCCCUCCUUAAUUAAUCGCGGAUUAUAGGGAUAACCCGCGGCCACUCGGUUUUGCACCCUUUUUUUCUUUUUUUUUUUUUUUUUUUAAAAAUUCUCUUCGGUCUUAAAAAAUAAAAUUCGACGAAAAGAUGUCUUCUCGAUAGAUUCGAAUCCUUUUUCUUCGAAUAUCCUUUUCUUGAAAAGUCACGGCUCGAGCCUGAAAUUUUUAUCACUUUAGCGAUGGAAAAGAAUUUUGAAAUACGUAAAAGUUUAUUUUUUUUUCUUUUAUGAAAAUAAAUAAUGUGUGUAUGUGUGUGUGUAUGCGUGUGCGAUAGAAAGAGUUUAAAUUUACGGAAUAAUUGUUAUACUUGCAAAGUUAAACGAGGUUAAAAAAUUUUAUUGCCAAUCAAAAUUUAAUUUGAAAAUCAUAAAUGGAUAUUGAAAAUUUUUACAAAAAUAUUUUCUAUCUUCGGGGAAGAAUGUAGCAUCUCUCAUCAAAUAUAAUAAAUUCAAGAGAAUAACGCGUUGCAAGUAACAUGAAACUACUUUUAGACUUAGGUAGUCUUUCGAUUUUUAAAACUACGCUGUUGCGCGCUAUUUUUAUCAAAAACAGAAACGCGUAACUGAAAUAUGUCAAGUGAAGUUACUAAGUUAAAAUUAUAACCCUGUUAUUAUAAUUAUAAAUAUAUUAUAAUUAUAAACUCGAGACUUUACGCUCAUUUUAUAUUUCGUUUUUCUUUUCAAAAAAAAAAAAAAAAAGAAAAAAAAAGGAAUUAAUUAUUCGAAUAUUUUCGCGCGUAAUGUAUCCUAUAUUCGCUUUUGAUCGUGUUACAAAAAAAAAAAGAAAAAAAAAGGGAAAAAAGAGAGAAAGAAAGGAUGCCUUACAGAGAAAAUACAUAUAUUUCGUAUGCCUCGCAGAUAUUUCACUUUACCGAAAAGGCGGACGUGCGUUGCCUUUGAUCCUCCUCGACCGUACUCAAAGACCGUUCAUACAAUUUGCAUUAACUUUUACCGAAUCCGGGAUCCAUCCAUCCAUUUUCGAAUAUUCCAUUUAGAUAAAUAAUCCCAUAAAUUAAUCAUAUAUUAAAUUCAUUUCUUCUAAUAUCACGCGUAAUAUCAAUUUUUUUCCAAUUAAUUUUUUUUUUCCGCGAGAAAGAAAUUUUUCCCGCGACGAUUUCCAUCGAUCCUUUAACAAUCAAAUAGAAAUACUUUUUCACACGUGUUCAUACAAAGAAGAGAAAAAAACGUGAAAAAAUAUAGUAUAUCGAAGGUUAGGUGAGUAAAUAAGUUCCUUCCCCUUUCUUUCUAUGAUCGUAACUUCUAACCGAAUUCUAAUUACUUUACCGUUCGUAGCGCCAUCUGAAAGAACGUUCUUUUGUUUUUAAGAAGAGUCGCGACGAGCGCUCUAAACAGUUUCCAGUCCUAUGCGAUAGUUUAGAGCGAUAGCAUCGUUGCGUGCGAGAAGUAUCGUUCGCGUUACUGUUUACUUUUUGCAUUCCAACUCGGGAAAUCGACUGUCGAAGCUAUUGAAAUGUUUGCGCAUCACUGGGAGAGAACAUUGUAUCUUACGAAACAAGGAAAAAAUCCUAACAAAGAUUUAAAGCUGGAAAUUUUAAUUUGGAAGACGAUCGUUCAGGUGCAUCGAGAAAGUUCGAUGAGAAAAUGAGUUAAAGGAAUCGCUCGAAAAUCCGAUCUAGACGCGGAAAGAAUUGGCAGAAACAUAAGCGCUAUCUAUUCGAUUUAAAUAAUUGUAUCUAAUUUAUGCGAUAGAAUCUAAAAUUUGGAAAAAAAAAGGGAAAGAACUUAUUUGCAUACUUAUAUAUAAUUUGUCUCCUGCGGCGAUUCCUUCUGUGAACGUGGUGAGUGCGUGCAGAUAAGAACGAUUAUAUAGGCACGCUCAUUAUUCCGAGCAACCGGCUCACGCUCGAAUAAUAAUAGCGUGGUGAAACGACAAACGUCUUAUCGUCUCAUUCGAGUGUUUAAAUAAGUAAACGCUCUCGCUUCCUCGAUCUCUCCAAUUAAUCGAGAGAAUUGUUGAACGCGUUAACGCGUGCCGUGUAUUUUCUACCGCUGAAACUAAUCGCGCCGGAUACGUCCGAUUUGAAUUGCGUGCAACGGUUCUCAACUUGUGGAAUUAAUGUAAAAUUUGAAAUAAAUUCGACGCGAAACGACGACAUCGGCGUAAUAAAGAUGCGCAGAAAUGAAUAUUUGGUAUAGCAUAAGACGAUUUUUCUUGGGAGGGGGGGAAGAAGAGGCGACUUGCGACGGAUAGAACGCAUUUCAAAAACAGUGACACAUCGUUGUCGGCGCGAGAAGAGAGUACUGCGAAGAGUGGUGUGAGGGGUCGAUUGAAAAUGUGAAUACGAGGGGAAGAAGAAGAAGAAUAAAAAUUUUUUCCUUUGA